RNAcentral lists this non-coding RNA (22 nucleotides) under Arabidopsis thaliana (thale cress). The record is from RNAcentral. Lineage: Eukaryota; Viridiplantae; Streptophyta; Magnoliopsida; Brassicales; Brassicaceae.
GGGAAUAUGCUUAUUUGAAUGC